This 46-nucleotide non-coding RNA is filed under the name Trichobilharzia regenti. Lineage: Eukaryota; Metazoa; Platyhelminthes; Trematoda; Strigeidida; Schistosomatidae. The record is from RNAcentral.
GUACUGCUAAAGGGUCCCAAACUAGGACGAAACAGCUGUCCAGUAC